This 254-nucleotide ribosomal RNA is filed under the name uncultured bacterium. RNAcentral describes it as "partial 16S ribosomal RNA". It matches the Rfam family "Bacterial small subunit ribosomal RNA", at positions 524 to 776 of the family's 1533-position model. The record is from RNAcentral.
UACGAAGGGGGCUAGCGUUGCUCGGAAUCACUGGGCGUAAAGGGUGCGUAGGCGGGUUCUUAAGUCAGAGGUGAAAUCCUGGAGCUCAACUCCAGAACUGCCUUUGAUACUGAGAGUCUUGAGUAUGACAGAGGUGAGUGGAACUGCGAGUGUAGAGGUGAAAUUCGUAGAUAUUCGCAAGAACACCAGUGGCGAAGGCGGCUCACUGGGUCGAUUACUGACGCUGAGGCACGAAAGCGUGGGGAGCAAACAGG